AACGAACGCUGGCGGCAUGCCUAACACAUGCAAGUCGAACGAGACCUCCGGGUCUGGUGGCGCAUGGGUGUGUAACGCGUGGGAACCUUCCCUUAUGCAUGGAAUAACUCUCCGAAAUGGGUGCUAAUACCGGAUAACUUCCUCGGACACAAGAUAUGUCGCCUUUGGAUGGGCCCGCGUUGGUUUAGCUUGUUGGUAGGGUAAAAGCCUACCAAGGCUACGAUCCUUAGCUGGUAUGAGAGGAUGGGCAGCCACACUGGGGGUGGGACACGGCCCGGAAUACUAGGGGAUGGGGGAGAGGGGAAUAUAGGAAUAUCGGGGGGGGGAUGAAGCAGCUAGGCCGGGUGAGUGAUGAAGGCGUUAGAGUUGUACAGCUCUUUUACACGGGAUGAUAAUGACGGUACCGGGAGAAUAAGCACCGGCUAACUCCGUG
This 433-nucleotide ribosomal RNA is filed under the name uncultured bacterium. Its description in RNAcentral is "partial 16S ribosomal RNA". It matches the Rfam family "Bacterial small subunit ribosomal RNA", at positions 29 to 507 of the family's 1533-position model. The record is from RNAcentral.